UAGCAGAUCAGCUCACAGAGCAACAGAUGUGGCCCACACCCAUUCAAGGGAGAGAGAAAAAAAAAACACAUUGCGCAUGGGUCUCCAACUUAACACUACUGUCAACUUAACAGCAAAACAGUUGCACAAAAUCCUCAAGGAAAGGGAGUUAAAGGAAAACUUAUUGCUUGACUUGGAAUUGUAUUGACUGACAUCAUCAUGAAGGCAUCAACCACAGCGGGUCCGGCGUUACCAAUGACAUCGCCAGAAACAUUCGAACAAGGAAUCAUUGAGGUUGUCACCCGUCUGGUCACACAGAAUUUCACAGAACACUUCACACAACCCUUCAGAGCUGUGGGAGCCGCCAACGUAGAUGAUGGAUCCUUUGAAGCCAUUAUUUUCGGAGGAGGAAUUUUUGCGCUGCUCCUGGCGCUGCUCCUGGCGUUGCUGGUACUGCGCUACAUUGUCAAGCAUAAGGGCACUUACCACACCAAUGAGGCCGAGUGUGGUGAUUCUGUCGACAAGUAUGGCAGGGACUCUCAAAGCGAGCAGGUUCAACUAGAGAUUUUGGACAAGGACGAAUAGAAAGAAGAAUACUUCAUUUGAAACAGGACUUUUUCCGUUUCUAAACCAGGGCCAAUAUUUUCUAUGGAAUUGGAAAUGCCUAUGAUGGUCAUCUAAUUUCAAGACAACAUUUAUAUGGGGCCUACAACCAUCUCAGCUCUGCAGAUAUUGUUACGAAGAGACAAAAUAAUUACAUCACUUAUUUUUGUAUUGCCCAUAUAGUAUAUACACUAUAUACGCAAAAGUAUGUGGACACCCCUUCAAAUUAGUGGAUUGGCUAUUUCAGCCACAUUACAGCCUUAUUCUACAGCUUUAUUUCCCUCAUCAGUCUACAUAAAAUCUCAUAAUGACAAAGUAAAAACAGGUUUUUAUCAAUUUUUGCAAAUGUAUAAAAAAAAAAUUCUGAAAUAUCACAUUUACAUAAGUAUUCAGAUCCUUUACUCAGUACUUUGUUGAAGCACCUUUGGCAGUGAUUACAACCUUGAGUCUUGGGUAUGACGCUACAAGCUAGGCACACCUGUAUUUGGGGAGUUUAUCCCAUUCUUCUCUACAAAUCCUCUCAAGCUCUGUCAGGUUGGAUGGGGAGAGUUGCUGCACAGCUAUUUUCAGGUCUCGGGUUCAAGUCCGGGCUUUGGCUGGGCCACUCAAGGACGUUUAGAGGCUUGUCCCAAAGCCACUCCUGCAUUGUUUUGGCUGUGUGCUUAGGGUCGUUGUCCUGUUGGAAGGUGAACCUUCACCCCAGUCUAAGGUCCUGAGUGCUUCAUCAAUGAUCUCUCUGUACUUUGCUCAGUUCAACUUUCCCACGAUCCUGACUAGUCUCCCAGACCCUGCCACUGAAAGAUAUCCCCACAACAUGAUGCUGCCACCAUCAUGCUUCACCGUAGGGAUGGUGUCAGGUUUAAUCCAGACGUGACGCUUGGCAUUCAGGCCAAAGAGUUCAAUCUUGGUUUCAUCAGACGAGAGAAUCUUGUUUCUCAUGGUCUGAGAGUCCUUUAGGGGCUUUUAUUGGGCAAACUCCAAGCGAGCUGUCAUGUGCCUUUUACUGAGGAGGGGCUUCCGUCUGGCCACUCUACCAUAAAAGCCUGAUUGGUGGAGUGCUGCAGAGAUGAUUGUCCUUCUGGAAGGUUCUCCCAUCUCCACAGAGCAACUCUGGGGCACUGUCAGAGUGACCAUCGGGUACUUGUUUACCUCCCUGACCAAAGCCCUUCUCCCCCUUUUGCUCAGUUUGACCGGGCGACUAGCUCUAGGAAGAGUCUUGGUGGUUCCAAACUUGUUCCAUUUAAGAAUGAUGGAGGCCACUGUGUUCUUGGGGACCUUCAAUGCUGCAGAAAUGUUUUGGUACCCUUUCCCAGAUCUGUGCCUCGACACAAUCCUGUCUCAGAACUCUAUGGACAAUUCCUUCGACCUCAUGGCUUGGUUUUUGCUCUGAAAAGCACUGUCAUCUAUAGACAGGUGUGUGCCUUUCCAAAUCAUGUCCAAUCAAUUGAAUUUAUCACAGAUGGACUCCAAUCAAGUUGUAGAAACAUAUCAAGGAUGAUCAGUGGAAACAGGAUGGACCAGAGCUCAAUUUCGAGUCUCAUAACAAAGGGUCUGAAUACUUAUGUAACAUUAGAGUGUCUAGUUUGAGAAACAGACGUCUCACAAGUCCUCAACUGGUAGCUUCAUUAAAUAGUACCAGCAAAACACCAGCCUCAACCUCAACAGUGAAGAGGCGACUCCGGGAUGCUGGCUUUCUAGGCCAAGUUGCAAAGAAAAAGCCAUAUCUCAGACUGGCCAAUAAAAGUAAAAGAUUAAGAUGGGCAAAAGAACACAGACACUGGACAGAGGAACUCUGUCUAGAAGGCCAGCAUCCCAGAGUCGCCUCAUCACUGUUUAUGUUGCUCAGUUGUGCACCAGGGCCUCCCACUCCUCUUUCUAUUCUGGUUAGAGACAGUUUGCACUGUUCUGUGAAGGGAGUAGUACACAGUGCUGUACGAGAUCUUUAGUUUCUUGGCAAUUUCUCGCAUGGAAUAGCCAUCAUUUCUCAGAACAAGAAUAGACUGACGAGUUUCAGAAGAAAGUAAUUUUUUCCGGCCAUUUUGAGCCUGUAGUCAAAGCCACAAAUGCUGAUGCUCCAGAUAUUCAACUAGUCUAAAGAAGGCCAGUUGUAUUGCUUCUUUAUCAGAACGACAGUUUUCAGCUGUGCGAACAUAAUUACAAAAAAGUUUUCUAAUGAUCAAUUAGCCUUUUGAAAUGAGAAACUUGGAUUAGCUAACACAACGUGCCAUUGGAACACAGGAGUGAUGGUUGCUGAUAAUGGGCCUCUGUACGCCUAUGUAGAUAUUCCAUAAAAAAUAUGCCGUUUCCAGCUACAAUAGUCAUUUACAACAUUAACAAUAUCUGCACUGUAUUUCUGAUCAGUUUGAUGUUAUUUUAAUGGACAAAAAAAAAUGCUUUUCUUUCAAAAACAAGGAAAUUCUAAGUGACCCCAAACUUUUGAACGGUAGUGUAUGCUCAAAGUAUUAACAUCCCAAAAUACUGUAUCGGUGACUAAAUGUGGUCAAGUUUAUGUUGAAGAUAAUUCAUGUCUGUUGUUUUAUCACAUGAAAAUGCCAUUCGAUUAGGUGUGGGUAUGUAUCAAGCUACACAUUUGAUACAUUUGCACAGUCAUUAAUUAAAUCAGCCAAACUCUUUUUUCCCAAUUAAGAGUUUACUUGUAUACCCAGUCGAAAAAUCUGAUUAUUCAACACAACAUCUGAGUUCAGGAAACCAAGAUAUAGGGGCAAAUGUUGUCACUUCAAUAGUGUGUGUUAACGAGAUUUAGAAGCUUAUGGAGGAUUUUGUGUUUUCUAUUUUCAUCAAGCUAGAAUAGAGCAAUGCAGUGCCCGAGGCUGCUGAAGGGCAGUUCUGAAUCCUUGAGUAGCGCCAGGCAGCACUAUGUGGGUUUAAUGCAAUUCGAACAACCCCAGAAACGUUCCUGCAGAACUGAGCCAGCACACUUUGCAAAAAAAACAUUGUGCCUCUGGGAAAUCGUUUUACUCUAAUUGCGCAUUAUUCUUGGUUGGGAUACAAGACAAUACAAGCCAAUCUCAAGAUCAUACAUCACCUGAUCUACGAGCUGGCAAAGAGCACUUACUUUUGGCCAUUUGAUUGCAAGUUGAAAGUAUUUCUUUCCAUUUGUCUUCCUAAUCAAAGUAUGGGACAAUUGCUAACCUUUCUCCAAACAGAUUUUUCCUUCAAUUCUCUAAUCAAGUCCAACUUCAAAGCCAGUGACUCAGCGUGUGUUUGAGUGCAGUAGCUUGAGUGCUCUGUCUGAUUGAGGUAAAGACAAUGAAGCCAUUGAGACAUCUAUCCAACUGCCGUCCUCACCGACAACAUAUCAAAUCCUAUUGAUCAGAGAGGAAAACACUUACAAAAUAUGUGCCCCAAAUGGCACCCAAUUUCUUCUUUAGUGCACUAGGCUACUUUUGACCAGGGCCCUAUGGGGGAAUAGGGUGCUAAAUAGGGAAUAGGGUGCCACUUGGGACCCGGCCGUGACUUCACCAGGGCCACUGACACCUCUCGAGGAGAUUAACAACUUUUCUAAAAGAGUUAUUCCAGGGUCACUGAAGCCAUAGCUUGGCCUAGACAGCUAUAUAGAAGCACCAAGUGCUUGAAAGGCAAUAAUCAGGAAGUCAGCCUUGCAACCAGCCGCACUUCCCGUUCAAUGUAUUUUUAUGAUUAGAAAUCAAAUAACAGUUCAAAAGACACCCAUCGUGUUCUCUUACAAUUGUAUCCCAGCUUUCCUCCUGGCCUUGGUGUGCAGAGAACAUUCUUUUUUAUUGUGACAAUAAGCCAUACUUUGAUAUGGCCCUGAAGGCAUCAACAUAAAUUCCUCUCAUCCCGACUGCUCUGUGAAGCUUGAACAAUGGCAAAGCCGAAAGCUGGUGACUUUUCCAUCUCUUCUCCUACUGUCGACAAAAUGGCAUAAAAUACAAAUACAUGCUAGCAUUCUCCAUGGAUGAAUGUGGCAUGCGACUGUACUCACCUAAAGACAUCAACGAUGAAAACACUUUGAAUUUCUUUUGAACAAUGUAGCUACCUCACUCUCUUUGAGUUGUAGCUAAUUCCAGUAAAAGAGGAUACAGUACAUUAAUUAAUGAAUGACUUGACUUGGAAGCCCAUGGUACCGUAGUCUGAGUUGUGUAGAUUAUCUCCCUUGUUAGACAAUAGGCUAAGUCUUGGGUGCGUCCCAAACAGCACCCAUAGAGCUCUAGUCAAAAGUUGUGCACUACAGAAUGUACAGGAAAUAGGCUGCCAUUUGGGACGGAGACCUGGAUGUGUUCAGACAAAUGGAAGAAGAAUGGGAACAGGAAAUUCAUUGAAUCAUCUUGUCAUUGAAUCAUCUUCUUAGAAUAUCCCCAUGGCUUACAAUAUGCACGCUCCCAAAUGCAACCCUAUUCCCUGGUCCCUGGUCAAAAGUAGUGCAUUGCGUAGGGAUUAGGGUGCCAUUUGGGAUGCACUUUUAAGGUUCUGGGGCUCUUGAGAAAGGAGAGUUUUGCAUAAUACAGCAGCAAUAAAACAGAAAAUGCUAAAUUCCAGCUCAUCCAAGUGUUGCUCUAUUGUAUUCUUCAGCGAAUAUCCUAUAAGCUAUAAUGAAGAUAUGUGACUUAGCCCCUGACAUGGCAAGCUUCCUAGGAGAAAGGACUUCCAUUCCAGACUCAAUUACUAUUGCAAUACGUUUCCGCUAUGGAUAUUGAAUAUUGCAAGAUAAGCAGGUCUCGCAAAAUUGCUAGCACAAAGUCUGCGCCGGGGUUUAUGCUAAGGCUUUUUACGCUUCUGUUCAAAGGUGCAUUGGGAAGGUUAUGAAGUACAUUUUUGGGGGGGGGCAGGGUUACAGGAAUAAAUAAUACAGUACCUGCCUGUGAAGAUGGAUGCUUCAUUGUUACAGCCAGGAAUAGUUCCUGCACUCAGCACUUCUCCAAAGAAGUGAAUGUCAAACUUGUGAAUGUCAAACUUGCAGGGGAUCCCCAACAGAGCAGCGUUAGAGAACUGUUCAACCAACUCAGUGUUAAAGAUGAAAUCCGCAUAAGGUGAAACAGCGCCAUUGUUAGCCCUCAGUGCAUUUGUCAUGAUUUUUGUUCUGUUGAUGAAACAGAGUAGAGGAGCAUCCAGUAUCGUGGUAAAACAAUAUUCCAGUACAUACUCUGUGUUCUAUCGCACGUGCAAUGAUGUGCAACGAUGUCAGCGGGGGAAAAAAACUGUGUUCGUAGUUUGAAGUAACUUCUUUGUUGUUGUAAUAUCGCAAACGGACAUGGCCGUUUCACCAAGUACGAAUUCCAGCUUUAAAACAGUGUUCAACCAAUGAAGUGUUAAAACAGUUUUUAGAAGAAUUCACAAGCUUGUAAUUGCAAAACUAGGCAGAAAUGAAGAAGAAAAGUGAUUCAGAAAAGAGGGAACAAAUGGUGUUAUUCUUUGAACCGCUUUUAAUUAAGUCUGUUCCUUUCUGUUUACUUUGAUGAAUCAUUGUUUCCCUAUUAGGCUCACUGUACCAAAGAGAGCUGCAUCUCCAUAAAACUAAAGGAGACAUCAUCCCCAUUAACAACUGUUACUAAUUGAUAUACCUAUAGUUUGGUUUUGAAAGAUUCAUACAACACAAGAACAGUACACUGCCCUCUGAUCCCAGAGGGCAGUGUCUCCAAGAAUACUGUCUCCAAGGAGGCUGCCUGCCUGCCUGUAUACCUGCCUUCUUGCCUUGAUGCCUGUGUGGCUGGCUUCCUGUACAGAUAGCCUAGCAGGAGGGAGCCUGCCUCUGCCUGCCUGCCUCUCAGCCUGCCUCUCUGCCUGCCUCUCUGCUUGGUGCACUCAGCAGUAAGAGGUGAUAUAGGCCUAAUCAUUAUUACUCUAUAAUAACUGAUAAAUAAUCCUCAUAUGAACGGUCACUAGGGGAAAUUGGCUUUUGUUAUUUCAUGUCUAACCGCAUUGCACCUACAGAAACCCAAUUAGCAAAACAAGUCAGCCAGCACUGAAUCAUCGGCAGGUAGUCUGCUAGGCUAUAUUGUCAUGAACAAACUACUGGAAUUCUGUUUGUGUAUAUAUGAAUGGGUUACUUUGGGUCCUAGAGUAUGUUAACUUUUUUAAUGUACUGUAGUUCCAUCCAUUAAAAAAAUUAUAAUAAUAAUUACUGAUUUUUGAGUACAGGCAUACCAUUGAAAUGUCUCUGUACUUUCUUCUCUCUCUCAGUGUGAGAAGCCAGUUCCGAGUUUCAGUUCUCUUUCCAGACUUAGUUGUUGUGACAAACAUUUGACCAGAUAAUUCAGUUCCCUGGGUGUAAUUACUCAGUUGACUGCAGGCACAUUUAGAUUUAAUUAAAAGUGAGAGUCCAAUAUCACUUGUCAUUGCACCUGACACCCUGGCGUUAACUUUGCAGCUUUGCAUUCAUUAGAGCAGGCAGUCAUUUUGUCACAUCUCCUUUGGAAUUGCCUAAAGUUGUAUCUUAUUUACAGCAUAAUCCUACCAGAUAUAAUAUAGUGCACAUCCUUAGGCAUGAAAGUAACAAAACUGAGGUGGGUAUGUGUGUGUGUGUGUCUGUGUGUGUGUGUGUGU
RNAcentral lists this long non-coding RNA (7107 nucleotides) under Salmo salar (Atlantic salmon). RNAcentral's name for it is "lncRNA (ENSSSAG00000116066.1)". Lineage: Eukaryota; Metazoa; Chordata; Actinopteri; Salmoniformes; Salmonidae. The record is from RNAcentral.